AAGGCGCUUUCGGGUGUCGCUGAUGGAUGGACCCGCGGUGCAUUAKCUAGUUGGUGAGGUAACGGCUCACCAAGGCCACGAUGCAUAGCCGACCUGAGAGGGUGAUCSGCCACMCUGGGACUGAGACACRGCCCAAACUCCUACGGGAGGCAGCAGUAGGGAAUCUUCGGCAAUGGACGAAAGUCUGACCGARCAACGCCGCGUGAGUGAAGAAGGUUUUCGGAUCGUAWAACUCUGUUGUUAGAGAAGAACAAGGACGWUAGUAACUGAACGUCCCCUGACGGUWUCUAACCAG
RNAcentral lists this ribosomal RNA (295 nucleotides) under Enterococcus faecalis. RNAcentral describes it as "partial 16S ribosomal RNA". The record is from RNAcentral. Lineage: Bacteria; Bacillati; Bacillota; Bacilli; Lactobacillales; Enterococcaceae.